RNAcentral lists this long non-coding RNA (226 nucleotides) under Homo sapiens (human). RNAcentral describes it as "HSALNT0310809". Lineage: Eukaryota; Metazoa; Chordata; Mammalia; Primates; Hominidae. The record is from RNAcentral.
CCAGUCUACAUCUUUCUCCCAUGCUGGAUGCUUCCUGCUCUCAAACAUCAGACCUCCAAGUUCUUCAGCUUUGGAACUCAGACUGGCUUCCUUGUUCCUCGGCUUGCAGAUAGCCCAUUGUGGGACCUCACCUUGUGAUCGUGACUAAAAGCUGUGAAGCUAACUGGCAAUCACCAAAAAGAUCAAGAACUGCAGAGGAGAAGAAAGCCAUCUGCCACUAUUAAAG